This 450-nucleotide ribosomal RNA is filed under the name uncultured bacterium. RNAcentral describes it as "partial 16S ribosomal RNA". It matches the Rfam family "Bacterial small subunit ribosomal RNA", at positions 354 to 796 of the family's 1533-position model. The record is from RNAcentral.
GUGGGGAAUUUUGGACAAUGGGCGAAAGCCUGAUCCAGCCAUGCCGCGUGCAGGAUGAAGGCCUUCGGGUUGUAAAGCUCUGUGGGGAGGGAAGAAAAAGCGGGAGAGUAACUGCUCUCGUGUUGACGGUACCUCCUUAGCAAGCACCGGCUAACUCUGUGCCAGCAGCCGCGGUAAUACAGAGGGUGCAAACGUUGCUCGGAAUUACUGGGCGUAAAGCGCGUGUAGGCUGACAUGCAAGUCGGGUGUGAAAUCCCAGGGCUCAACCUUGGAACUGCACUCGAAACUGCACGUCUUGAGUACUGGAGAGGGAAGAGGAAUUCCGGGUGUAGAGGUGAAAUUCGUAGAUAUCCGGAGGAACACCAGUGGCGAAGGCGGCUUCCUGGACAGUAACUGACGCUGAGACGCGAAAGCGUGGGGAGCAAACAGGAUUAGAUACCCUAGUAGUCC